Trifolium pratense (red clover) is the source of this 256-nucleotide long non-coding RNA. RefSeq lists it as uncharacterized. The record is from RefSeq and is a predicted model, not a curated record. The transcript has 3 exons. NCBI's taxonomy places the organism in Eukaryota, Viridiplantae, Streptophyta, Magnoliopsida, Fabales, Fabaceae.
UUCAUGCUACUGUCCGGAGGCACCUGAUUCAUUUGUUUAAGGGUGUUCUUAAGGGUGCACCUGAUUCAUUACCGGUAGUUGUUAUCCAAUUUGGAAAAAUUAGAUAUUUCAGGGGUGUACAUGGAUUUAAUACGCAGUGGUACAGCUUCUAUAUGCAUAACUUGGAGGAGCUUAACAAAUGUUGGAGUCCAUGGCUUCUUUCAUUGAAUGUCUGAUUUGGAAGGUAAGUGGAGAUCCGCAUGGAGCAACAACAGGU